RNAcentral lists this ribosomal RNA (1512 nucleotides) under uncultured bacterium. RNAcentral describes it as "bacterial SSU rRNA". It matches the Rfam family "Bacterial small subunit ribosomal RNA". The record is from RNAcentral.
GAGUUUGAUCAUGGCUCAGGAUGAACGCUAGCGAUAGGCCUAACACAUGCAAGUCGAGGGGCAGCACAUGAGUAGCAAUACGAUGGUGGCGACCGGCGCACGGGUGAGUAACACGUAUGCAACCUACCUCUAACAGGGGGAUAACCCGUUGAAAGACGGACUAAUACCCCAUAAUACAGGGGCUCCGCAUGGAGAUAUUUGUUAAAGAUUUUAUCGGUUAGAGAUGGGCAUGCGUUCCAUUAGCUAGUUGGUGAGGUAACGGCUCACCAAGGCGACGAUGGAUAGGGGAACUGAGAGGUUUAUCCCCCACACUGGAACUGAGACACGGUCCAGACUCCUACGGGAGGCAGCAGUGAGGAAUAUUGGUCAAUGGAGGCAACUCUGAACCAGCCAAGUCGCGUGAAGGAUGAAGGUCUUAUGGAUUGUAAACUUCUUUUGCAGGGGAAUAAAUAGCGGUACGUGUACCGUUUUGCAUGUACCCUGCGAAUAAGGAUCGGCUAACUCCGUGCCAGCAGCCGCGGUAAUACGGAGGAUCCGAGCGUUAUCCGGAUUUAUUGGGUUUAAAGGGUGCGCAGGCGGGAGAUUAAGUCGGCGGUGAAAUUUUGCAGCUCAACUGUAAAAGUGCCUUCGAUACUGGUUUCCUUGAGUGUGGAUGAAGUAGGCGGAAUUUGUGGUGUAGCGGUGAAAUGCUUAGAUAUCACGAGGAACUCCGAUUGCGCAGGCAGCUUACUAAACCACUACUGACGCUCAGGCACGAAGGCGUGGGGAUCAAACAGGAUUAGAUACCCUGGUAGUCCACGCAGUAAACGAUGAUUACUGGCUGUUUGCGAUACAAUGUAAGCGGCUGAGCGAAAGCGUUAAGUAAUCCACCUGGGGAGUACGUUCGCAAGAAUGAAACUCAAAGGAAUUGACGGGGGCCCGCACAAGCGGAGGAACAUGUGGUUUAAUUCGAUGCAAACCGAAGAACCUUACCUAGGUUUGACAUGUACGUGGUACGGAUCUGAAAGGAGAAGGACCUAGCCUUCGGGCAAGGAGCGUACACAGGUGCUGCAUGGCUGUCGUCAGCUCGUGUCGUGAGAUGUUGGGUUAAGUCCCGCAACGAGCGCAACCCCUGCAUCCAGUUACCAUCGAGUGAAGUCGGGGACUCUGGAUGGACUGCCAGCGACAAGCUGGAGGAAGGUGGGGAUGACGUCAAGUCAUCAUGGCCCUUAUGCCUAGGGCGACACACGUGCUACAAUGGCCGAUACAGCGGGAAGCUAGCCUGCGAAGGUAUGCGGAUCCCACAAAGUCGGUCUCAGUUCGGAUUGCAGUCUGCAACUCGACUGCAUGAAGGAGGAAUCGCUAGUAAUCGCGGAUCAGCCAAGCCGCGGUGAAUACGUUCCCGGGCCUUGUACACACCGCCCGUCACACCACCCGAGUUGGGUGCACCCGAAGCCGGAGGCUUAACCUUUCGAGGAAGGAUCCGUCUAAGGUGUGUCUGGUGAGGGGGGUGAAGUCGUAACAAGGUAGCCG